RNAcentral lists this unclassified non-coding RNA (325 nucleotides) under Hevea brasiliensis (rubber tree). Lineage: Eukaryota; Viridiplantae; Streptophyta; Magnoliopsida; Malpighiales; Euphorbiaceae. The record is from RNAcentral.
AAAAAAAUAUAAGUAUGAUAAAAUGCACAUACUAAAUAUAUAAAUCUUAUUAUUUAUAUAUCCGUGAAUCUAAAUAAGAAUUUCCUUUUAUAUAUACCCACAAAGCCAUGCAAUAAUUUCUUUUGCUCCAAUCGUUUGUGACAGCCACAAAUAUAUACAAGUGGGGGAAAAGUGAGGCAAAAAUAAUAUUUUAUCAAAGUUAAUUAAUUUUUUUUAUUAAAAAAACUCAAAUUUAAAUUUAAUAACACAUUAUCUAAACUAAACUUGUGACUUUGUGGUUGCAGGCUCUCUUUCCAUAAAUAAAGCCUAACAUACCUGUGAAAAC